Drosophila virilis is the source of this 627-nucleotide non-coding RNA. The record is from RefSeq and is a predicted model, not a curated record. Lineage: Eukaryota; Metazoa; Arthropoda; Insecta; Diptera; Drosophilidae.
AUUAAUUUUAGUUUGAAUUUAGUUCCCUUUGAAUUCGUUUUAUGUAAAUUCCAAUAUGGAUUUUAAAAUUAACCGUAGGUGUACAAAAAAAAAAAAAUGGCUCAAAGCUGAAAUUGACACUGUUCACAGAAAGCUGAAAAUUAUCGGAUGUAACAGAUGGGAGCUUCGUGUUGGGUUUGACUACAAUGUUGCUAGCUGUGAGUGUUGGAGUGUCCCGCGGCGUCAUGAAAACGCAAUUGGAAUCGCAGUUUGAUUUCAGUUUGGUAAACGUCAACUAAUUUCCGCACAAUCGACGCCAAAUCCGAGCGAACAUCAAAUCGAAACGACAAAACAGCACUUGAAAUUAAAUCGAUCAAUGGCUGGGAUGCAUGGCAUGGAAUUGAAUGGGUAGUCCCAUCCAGCAAGCUCAACGGUUACCCAACGGCAACCACGUUCUCUGUGCGGGGGCAGCGGCUGUCAGCAUUAUUACGGCUGGAUGACAUUUUAUCGCAUUUCAUUAGCAGUCAGAGGCUACGAAUCCAAUUCCAUUUUACAUUUCGUCGCACUUCAUUUGCAAAUUUGCGAGUGCGACGCGACUUGCGUCCGUCCACUUCAAUAAAACGUUGAAUUUUCUUUUGUGCCCGCCUC